GACGUAGGGCGCAAGCGUUGUCCGGAUUUAUUGGGCGUAAAGAGCUCGUAGGCGGCCUGUCGCGUCGACCGUGAAAACCCGCAGCUCAACUGCGGGCUUGCGGUCGAUACGGGCAGGCUGGAGUUCGGUAGGGGAGACUGGAAUUCCUGGUGUAGCGGUGAAAUGCGCAGAUAUCAGGAAGAACACCCGUGGCGAAGGCGGCUCUCUGGGACGGUACUGACGCUGAGACGCGAAAGCGUGGGGAGCGAACAGG
Molecule: ribosomal RNA, 253 nt
Filed under: uncultured bacterium
Lineage: Bacteria
Description: partial 16S ribosomal RNA
Rfam family: Bacterial small subunit ribosomal RNA
Source: RNAcentral